RNAcentral lists this ribosomal RNA (447 nucleotides) under uncultured bacterium. Its description in RNAcentral is "bacterial SSU rRNA". It matches the Rfam family "Bacterial small subunit ribosomal RNA", at positions 329 to 795 of the family's 1533-position model. The record is from RNAcentral.
UCCCAGACUCCUACGGGAGGCAGCAGUGGGGAAUAUUGCACAAUGGGGGAAACCCUGAUGCAGCAACGCCGCGUGAGUGAUGACGGCCUUCGGGUUGUAAAGCUCUGUCUUCAGGGACGAUAAUGACGGUACCUGAGGAGGAAGCCACGGCUAACUACGUGCCAGCAGCCGCGGUAAUACGUAGGGAGCGAGCGUUGUCCGGAAUUACUGGGUGUAAAGGGAGCGUAGGCGGAAUGCCAAGUCAGCGGUAAAAUCGCGGGGCUCAACCUCGCGCCGCCGUUGAAACUGGCGUUCUUGAGUGGGCGAGAAGUAUGCGGAAUGCGUGGUGUAGCGGUGAAAUGCAUAGAUAUCACGCAGAACUCCGAUUGCGAAGGCAGCAUACCGGCGCCCAACUGACGCUGAAGCACGAAAGCGUGGGUAUCGAACAGGAUUAGAUACCCUAGUAAC